CAGAGGGGAAGAGAGAGACAGAGGGAGAAAAGAGAGAGACACACAAGAGGAGGGGGAGAAAGAGGCAGAGGGGGAAAGGAGAGAGACACACAAGGGGAGGGGGAGAAAGAGGCAGAGGGUGAAGAGAGAGACUGGGGGAGACAUGGACACAGAGUGAGGGGGAGAAAGAAACAUGCAGAGUGACUGGGAGGACACAAAUAGGCACACAGAGGGGCUGGAGAUAAAGAGACACACAUAGGGGCUGUAUAUAUAACUGGUGGAUCCAAGGGAGGGAGGCAACAGGGCAAUUCCCCCUCCACGAGGCUCUCCUCUGCAAGCCAAUCUCCCUCCCCGUUCCACAGGCACCAUGCGGGCAGCCGGCAGGGGAGGGAGGAAGAGAGGACCCGGGAGCUCAGCCUGCAGCUCCUCUGCAUCCUUCUCGUGCGAGCACAGAGCGUUUGCAGCGGUUACCACGGCAACGCUCCAGCUUUCACGAGAGUGAACUCUAGCCCUGGAGAUACGGGCUAGAGUUCACUCUCACCACUGCGACAACCAGGGAUUCCUGGUGGUCGCAGUGGUGAGAGUGAACUCUAGCCCCAUACACACACUGCCUCCACACAUACACCAUACACAUUCACACACUGCCCCCAUACACAUUCACACACUGCUCCCCAUACACACAUUGCCCCAUACACACACACACUGCCCCCACACACACACCAUACACAUUUACACACUGCCCCAUGCACACAUUGCCCCCCACACACAUACACAGCCCCCAUACACACAUUGCUGCACACACACACAUACACAGCCCCCAUACACACAUUGUCCCACACACCCUACACAUUCACACAUACACUGAACCUUUCACACACACUGCACCCCUCACACAUUGCACCACUGCUCCUAUACCCUAAUACAGCCCCAUAUCCCAGCAGAUCCCAGGUAAGUUGUUCUAAAACAGUUUGACUACUUACUCUGGGAGAGGGUCCCGGCACUCCUUGCACCCUAACCACUACACAGAGCCGUAGUGGUUAUUGUGCAUGUAUUUUUUCUUUAAAUAAUCUACAAGUGCCCCUCCCAGGAUCAGGCUCUGGAUCCACCACCGGUAUAUGACAUGUAUGUACUGUGAUUUUAGGACAAAGUAGCUGAAUUUUAAAAAUGUGUUUUGCUAUGUUAUGUUGGACAAAAUUUGAAAUUCACUUUGACGUUAAUUUGAAUCUUGACAAUUCAUAUUUUUGCCCCUUCCUGCUCCUUGCUGAUCCUUCCUUCUCCUUGCUGACCCUUCCUUCUCCUUGCUGACCAUUCCUACUCCUUGCUGCCCUUUCCAGCUCCUUGCUGACCCUUUCUGCCCCUUCUUGCUGACACUUCCUGCUCCUUGCUGCCCUUUCCAACUCCUUUCUGACCCUUUCUGCCCCUUGUUGCUCCUUGCUGCCCCUUUCUGCUUCCUUCUCAUUUCAGUUCCUUCCCCUUCCUACUCUUUCUCUUACUUUACCUUCCUGCCCCUUGCUUACCCUUCCUGUAGGCUGCCUCCCCCCCCGUCCCUCACUUACGUGAUCUAUAGACUCUCUCCCCAUCAUCCCUAACUUACCUGAUCUGUAGGUGGAUCCCCCAUCUCUCACUUCCUUGAUCUAUAGGCUGCACCCCCAUGCCUCACUUCCCUGAUCUAUAGGCUCUCUCUGCCACCCCCUCCCUCACUUACCUGAUCUGUAGGCUGUCUCUGGCUGCAUGUGCUAUUCCUCUGCGGAUUCAGUCAGAAGAGAGAAGCAGGGAUAAUAUGUAGCUUCCUAUCCCUGUCUCUCCACACACAGGCGCCGGUAUUGCAGUGUAUUUUCAAUACACAAAAAAUAGCAGAACAAGCUGAAAAAUCCAGGGGGGAGGAGGGCCUUGACCCCCCCCUGCGGACGCCCAUGUACACAGGGCAGGAUGAACUUAAAGUAGCCAGGUAGAGCAGAGAUAGAAUUACUUUGUUAAACAUUCUGACCUUGUUUUGCAAACCAUUAUUUUGCUUAUCCUGCUGUUUAGCUAAAUUUAAAUGCACACAGUAUGAAUGCUUCUAUCAAAGCUGAUUGUCUAGGUUGUUACCCCUAACACCAUGCCUAAUAAAUAAACCUGUAUACAUACUUCUUACUUAGACCUGAGCUUUAUUACAUUUUCUGUAUGAAUCCAAAUAUUAAACAUCCUAUCCGUUUUUUAUUGAACAUGAUUUCCAUAGCAAACAUUUUCUCACAAACUCUAAUGAUGGGGCUAUCUUACUAAGUGUCCACUAGAUGGCAGCAAACCCUUUCUGUACACUUCAUCAACUCGGAAUAACACAUACACAAAAUUGGUAGUACAUGUAGACUCUGG
Molecule: non-coding RNA, 2331 nt
Organism: Pelobates cultripes (western spadefoot toad)
Lineage: Eukaryota; Metazoa; Chordata; Amphibia; Anura; Pelobatidae
Source: the annotation of a GenBank genome assembly